Molecule: ribosomal RNA, 207 nt
Filed under: uncultured bacterium
Lineage: Bacteria
Description: partial 16S ribosomal RNA
Rfam family: Bacterial small subunit ribosomal RNA
Source: RNAcentral
UGCGUAGGCGGUUCGUUAAGUCUGCUGUGAAAGCCCUGGGCUCAACCUGGGAACUGCAGUGGAUACUGGCGGACUAGAGUGUGAUAGAGGAUGGUGGAAUUCCCGGUGUAGCGGUGAAAUGCGUAGAGAUCGGGAGGAACACCAGUGGCGAAGGCGGCCAUCUGGAUCAACACUGACGCUGAGGCACGAAAGCGUGGGGAGCAAACA